AGCGAACGCUGGCGGCAGGCUUAACACAUGCAAGUCGAGCGCAUCCUUCGGGGUGAGCGGCGGACGGGUGAGUAACGCGUGGGAACGUGCCCUCUUCUACGGAAUAGCCUCGGGAAACUGAGAGUAAUGCCGUAUACGCCCGCAAGGGGAAAGAUUUAUCGGAGGAGGAUCGGCCCGCGUUGGAUUAGGUAGUUGGUGGGGUAACGGCCUACCAAGCCGACGAUCCAUAGCUGGUUUGAGAGGAUGAUCAGCCACACUGGGACUGAGACACGGCCCAGACUCCUACGGGAGGCAGCAGUGGGGAAUCUUGGACAAUGGGGGCAACCCUGAUCCAGCCAUGCCGCGUGAUCGAUGAAGGCCUUAGGGUUGUAAAGAUCUUUCAGCUGGGAAGAUAAUGACGGUACCAGCAGAAGAAGCCCCGGCUAACUCCGU
RNAcentral lists this ribosomal RNA (432 nucleotides) under uncultured bacterium. Its description in RNAcentral is "partial 16S ribosomal RNA". It matches the Rfam family "Bacterial small subunit ribosomal RNA", at positions 29 to 506 of the family's 1533-position model. The record is from RNAcentral.